Small nuclear RNA from Cricetulus griseus (Chinese hamster), 106 nucleotides. NCBI's taxonomy places the organism in Eukaryota, Metazoa, Chordata, Mammalia, Rodentia, Cricetidae. The record is from Ensembl.
AGGCUCACCCCAGCAGCAAGUAUACUAAAUGUGAAAUGGUACAGAGAACAUUAGCAUGAAGCUGUACAAGGAUGGCACACAAAUUCACAAAGUGUUUCAUAUUUCU